CUGGCUCAGGAUGAACGCUAGCUACAGGCUUAACACAUGCAAGUCGAGGGGCAGCAUGAAGUCAGCUUGCUGACUUGAUGGCGACCGGCGCACGGGUGAGUAACGCGUAUCCAACCUACCCCAUAGUAGGGGAUAGCCCGUAGAAAUGCGGAUUAAUACCCUAUGUUUUCCGAGGAGGACAUCUGACUUGGAACAAAGAUUCAUCGCUAUGGGAUGGGGAUGCGUCCGAUUAGCUUGUUGGCGGGGUGACGGCCCACCAAGGCGACGAUCGGUAGGGGUUCUGAGAGGAAGGUCCCCACACUGGUACUGAGACACGGACCAGACUCCUACGGGAGGCAGCAGUGAGGAAUAUUGGUCAAUGGGCGAGAGCCUGAACCAGCCAAGUAGCGUGCAAGGAAGACGGCCCUACGGGUUGUAAACUGCUUUUAUCAGGGGAUAAAGUGUGGGACGCGUCCCUCAUUGCAGGUACCUGAUGAAUAAGGACCGGCUAAUUCCGUGCCAGCAGCAGC
Molecule: ribosomal RNA, 509 nt
Filed under: uncultured bacterium
Lineage: Bacteria
Description: bacterial SSU rRNA
Rfam family: Bacterial small subunit ribosomal RNA
Source: RNAcentral